This 458-nucleotide unclassified non-coding RNA is filed under the name Hevea brasiliensis (rubber tree). The record is from RNAcentral. Lineage: Eukaryota; Viridiplantae; Streptophyta; Magnoliopsida; Malpighiales; Euphorbiaceae.
CUCAUUUUAUAUUUGUAUGAAUCUUUGGUUUUUUUGUCUUGAGAAAUAUACAUAAGCUAAAGAUUGUGAAGAUAAUCGCUCGCUAAAAUAACCAAAGAUUCAUACAAAUAUACGCAAACAUCCGUUGAGAAACAAUUCUUGUUUACUUUGCCCAAGUGAUUCUCCUAUUGAAAUUUCAAGAGCAUCUGCAUACCAAAUGUAAAAUGAUAGCCCUCACCUAAUGAAAUAAAGCUGAAAAUUUUCUUGAUGCGAAACCACAGGUGCUACAUACAUAUAACGGUAUUAAAGACACCUGUCAAAAUCUAGGAACCAAACAAAAAAGAUCAUUUAAAUUUGCCUUUGCGCUUGCGUUCUUGAUUCCUGCCACAUUUAGUUGGCUUGCCCCAUGGUGUUUGUGACACCCUUCCAAAGGAGCCACUACUUUUGCUGCGACCCUCACCUCCACCAUGAGGAUGAUC